CCAAUUCAUAUAACUUGUAAAUUUCGGAGACUCACUGCUCCAUGAGCAUUCCAUCGAUUCUCAUGCAAGUUCAAAAAGAACAAUAAACUCUUCCCACUAUUGGAGACAAAGCGACAACAUCGACGCUUCCAAGAAAAGAAGUAGAUCCUCAUUCACUAAUUCUGAGCAAGCUAUUAACUAGUUCAUUCAUUGAUUGCCAUAGGCAAAAGCUUAUCAACUAAAGACAGAGAAUAAGCACAACUUGCUCACUUCAUAUUGAUUGACGACCAUGAUUUCCCUCAACAGCGCGGGGUGAAGUAGAAUAUAUCAUGCACAGAGAAUGAAGCAGGAAGUAGAUGAGGCAAAUAGAAUGUGAUUUUAGUGGGUGCUCUUAGAUUGAUUACCUGCUUCUGGACAAUGAAAUUGACGAAGGUGGAGAAAUCAAUAACCAAAGGACAAGACAGGUAUUGUGAAGGAGGUAACGCACAUUGAUUUUAUAAAAAGUAUCAAGACAUCACGUGGUUGAGGACAUUGCGGGGUGACUCAGCAGCAAGGAGGCGGCUAGCAACCAGCCAUAACAUUGCUCCAGUUAGUGAGCGUAACAUGUGUCGGCCAAAGUUCAUGAUCUGAAUUGGCGUGAUCACGAUUCACGCUCAGCGAUGUCGUCUCGAUUCUGUUCGACAGGGCGUACUAUGAUCGUCACCAAAGAUCAUGUGUGUGCCAGCAACUCCAAGCCUUCUCGUGUCACCGACCACCACCAAUCACCAAAGGAUCACAGGAACCACUGAGAAAACAAACGGAGAGUCAGUUUCACUAUUGGCAACUAUGGCGUAUACUCGUAAUCACGUCUAAAGAUUGCAAAAUCAAACAAUAUCAAGUGAACAUCGCUAAUGUGCUUUCAAAUAGGACGAUUACUGGAAUCAAUUCACAACAAGAUCUCAGACUCAUUUCAUCGAACAGAUUAUGGCGAAUUGGUUGUGGAACAGAUCAAAGCCAUUUCGAACUCAAAUUUAUAACUAGACUCGACCUAAAUCAGUACAUAAUGUUCGAAGUCUCAAAAAAAAAAAAAAAUCAAACUACGAUAUUAAUCAUAAUAAGAGAAUCGGACACUCGGCCUCUUACCUGUGACAACAGAACGUGCUCCUCCCGAGACUGAUGGUCUACGGCGGCGACCAGCGAAGGAGUUGGAACUUGUAAUGAUUGGGCGGUGGUAGGCAAGUGGCUAAAUCGGAACUUGAGAUAUUAUGGUGGCUGGAGAUGAUGGAAGAUGGAGCCAUUUUCCCCUGCUUCCUCCCUUCUGGGCGCAUGAGUUUUCCCUUAGUGAACGUAAAAAACCUUGAGAAAAACAGAGGGACCUUUCCUUCUUGUGCCGCCCCUUUUCUCUAGAAGGGAAAGAAUAGAUUGUUUUUUUCUCUUUACUAGAGUUUUGUGCUUCCGCGCCAGUUACCAGUUACCACGAAAAUUAAUUAAACCAUUGGGCGCCAUAUGUCCUCCCUUCUGAUUUGACAUGAAUGAAGAUGAUGUUGCUAUUGGUAAUUCUUUUUUUGGAAAAAAAAAAGUGACGAGACAGGACAACCUCUAAUAUGGAAAAGAAAGAGACAAGAUAAGGGAAAAAUGAUAAAGGAUAGAGGAUAGAAUGCACCAAGCGUGGAAAAAGUUCCAUGGGUCAACUCUCUCUUAUUUGGUCCCUCCAAUAAUAUUUUGUUUCAUCUGUAAUUUUCUUCCCCUUUAACCUUUCAGUGCUCCUGCUUUAGAGAUUGUUCGAGUUUAAAGUACUUUUUUAUACACUAGUAAAAUUUGCAUGUUAUUCUAUGGUGUUUCGAGACUAAAAUUUAAUUGAUACCGUUGCAACAUUGAAAUUUUAUUAAUUUCACUAAUAGUUCAAUUGGUUGUUCAUAAUGUGUUUUGUUGAAAUUUCCAACUUCCAUAAAAUAGAAAAUAAAAAGAAAAGAAUACGCAUUUGGCAGACAUAAUGCUUAUUUGAGGUUCACAUGUCAAGCAAUGUAUACCUCAAUAUCCAUACAUCAUUUGCUUUGUAGAGAAUAAUUAUACAGCAUUUUGAAGUAAACUUGUCUUGUUCAUUUUCAUUCAAGUUAUGGGGGCUAAUCUCCCUAUAGAAGCAUCAUUGCGACUUAUCGACGAGUUCAGUCAAUUAAAAGCCAUUUGAAAACUUAGUCCUCCCUUCUGAUUUGACAUGAAUGAAGCACGCAUAUGCUUUCUUUGCAUAUGCAGGAUAACACUACACUAAAGUCGAAGGAUGACUUAACUAAAAAACAAAAGUUGAAAGAUGAAAAGAUACUUGACGUGGAAGAAUAGAUAUAUAAUGUUACCCGUGACUUUGGAGCAGUCAACCCUAGCCAAGAAGAGUAACAAGCCCAGUCAAAGAUGGAAAUAAGUAUGUGUGCAUAUGCUUGACCGGUAAAUGAGAAUUAUGUGGCAAGUUAAACGCACAUUUAAAUUGACUCUUUUCGGAACAAAAUAACAAGUUUAUAUGGCAACAUGAGAUGAAAAUGAAAUUUUGAUUCUGUCAAUAAGUCUUGGUUUAUUUAUAUUAGUAUCACUUUUUCAUUUACAUGAUUAAGCACCACCAAUCGAUUUGCAUUUUGUUGAAUUUUAACUUAUUAUACCUCUUAGAAAUACUUCUUUUGGCAAAUUGCCUCCCAAUGGCAUUGGCAAUCUCCUUCCAUAAUUAUUUGCUUGAAGAUUUCGAAUCAACGGUUUAGCUGCGAUAGCAUUUUUUAUUUAAUUUAUUCAUAUUACGACUAUCUGAAAAUAUAUGAAUGAUUUUGGAAAGAGUAGAAAUACUUUAUGUUAGAUGUACGAAGCAUUUUCUUUAUAAGACUAUUUGGUACACCUUUCAUGCAGCAAUUUCGGCCAUGAAAAAUGGGUGGCGUUUGAUAAACAUUUCACAAUUAUAGCACAUUCAAGAUUACAGUAGCUUAUAGUCGACACCCUCAUUUUUGGCUGGAAAUUUAAGCAAAAUUGACAAUUUAGGCAGUUUUUGUUAUGACUGAAUAAAACCAAAAUGAAAAGCGCAAAAAAAAAAAAAAAAAAAAAAAAAAAACAAGAACAUAAAAGGAACUUGCAUAACUCAGACCCAUUAAAGCCCAGAAACAAUACCAUGUCGAGACCUCAGCUUGUUCAAUAUCCUUGUACCAAGCCUCCAUUAUUUCAUUUCUUCACUAGAGCCCAUUAGAUUGGCUUGAAAAAACUCAACAAACCCAGCCCUAAUUUGUCUCCUUCUUGACCCUGCGACUUGACGGAACAAGGCGGGGAGCGCGUGAGGAUGAGACCAAGAGAGGGGGAGCGAAGCAGCAGCCGUGAGGAUAUCUAGAAUCCUGAGUCAGAUGGGUUUUCUGAAAAAAAAAAAAAAAAGGCAGAUAGGGGAGAGAACAUGACCUGUGUCCCGAGGAAGUACUCCAAGGCGGUAAAAUCUACCCUCUUCAGCAUCCUCUCAAAACUUGAAUCAAGUGCAGCGGACGAACCGACUCAGCAUUUUAAUACUCAAAAAAUUUCAUGGGAAGAGACAUGGCCUACACUACCUUUGCGGUCGAUCUAGACCGGUUGCACCAAAGGUCGUGCCAGGCCCAGCACCAUUUUCAACAAGAGGAAAAGUACCUGACUCUCCUUUAGAUUCCAAUAGCUCAAGCACAUGGACGCUGCCAUUAGUAAGCCCUAGUGCAAACUGGUUAGGUUUGAAGGGUUGUGAUGCAAUGACUAGCUGGUUGAUUCUCAAGCUGCCAAAUGCAUUGGUAAGGAAUGAAAUUACUUGCGAGACUAUUGAAACUUCACGAAUGAGAAGCUUUGAAAUUCUAGCACUACUCACUGCUCCAUGAGCAUUCCAUCGAUUCUUAUGCAAGUUCAAAACAAACAAUGAACUCUUUCCACUAUUGGAGACAAAGCAACGACAUCAACAUUUCCAAGACAGAAAUAAAUUCUCAAUUUAUUAAAUCUGAGCAAGCUAUUAACUGGUUUAAUUCGUUGAUUGUCAUAUGCAGAAACUAUCAACUAAAGACAGGGAAUAAGUAUAACUUGCUCACUUCAUAUCGUUUGUUGACCAUGAUUUCCCUCAACAGCACGCGGUGAAGUAGAAUAUGCCAUGCACAGGGAAAGAAGCAGGAAGUAGAUGACUCAAAUAGAAUGUGAUUUUAGUGGGUGCUCUUAGAUUGAUUACCUGCUUCUGGACAAUGAAAUUGACGAAGGUGUAGUAAUCAAUAACCAAAGGACAAGACAGGUAUUGUGAAGGAGGUAACACACAUUGAUUUUGUAACAAAGUAUCAAGACAUCGCGUGGUUGAGGACAUUGCGGGGCGACUCAGCAGCAAGGACGCGGCUGGCAACCAGCCACAACAUUGCUCCAGUUAGUGACCAUAACAUGUGUUGGCCGAAUUUCAUGAUCUGAAUUGGCGUGAUUGUGAUUCACGCUCAGCGACAUCGUCUCGAUUCUGUUCAACAAGGCAUAAUAUGCUCAUCACCAAAG
RNAcentral lists this long non-coding RNA (4458 nucleotides) under Eucalyptus grandis. RNAcentral describes it as "long non-coding RNA (EGRA_LNC001410)". Lineage: Eukaryota; Viridiplantae; Streptophyta; Magnoliopsida; Myrtales; Myrtaceae. The record is from RNAcentral.